UACGUAGGGGGCAAGCGUUAUCCGGAUUUACUGGGUGUAAAGGGAGCGUAGGUGGCAAGGCAAGUCAGAUGUGAAAACCCGGGGCCCAACCCCGGGAGUGCAUUUGAAACUGUCUGGCUAGAGUGCAGGAGAGGUAAGUGGAAUUCUUGGUGUAGGGGUAAAAUCCGUAGAGAUCAAGAGGAAUACUCAUUGCGAAGGCGACCUGCUAGAACAUAACUGACGCUGAUGCGCGAAAGCGUGGGGAGCAAACAGG
RNAcentral lists this ribosomal RNA (253 nucleotides) under uncultured Eubacteriales bacterium. RNAcentral's name for it is "uncultured Clostridiales bacterium partial 16S ribosomal RNA". It matches the Rfam family "Bacterial small subunit ribosomal RNA", at positions 524 to 776 of the family's 1533-position model. Lineage: Bacteria; Bacillati; Bacillota; Clostridia; Eubacteriales. The record is from RNAcentral.